GAACUGCUGAGGAGUCCCAUACCAGGACGAAACAGCUGUCCAGUGC
Non-coding RNA from Schistosoma margrebowiei, 46 nucleotides. NCBI's taxonomy places the organism in Eukaryota, Metazoa, Platyhelminthes, Trematoda, Strigeidida, Schistosomatidae. The record is from Rfam.